Molecule: RNA transcript, 1406 nt
Organism: Aethalodelphis obliquidens (Pacific white-sided dolphin)
Lineage: Eukaryota; Metazoa; Chordata; Mammalia; Artiodactyla; Delphinidae
Gene name: NF-kappa-B-activating protein pseudogene
Exons: 1
Source: RefSeq, a predicted model, not a curated record
AUGGAUCCGGUGUCUGGCUCCCGCAGCCCGGACUGGGAGGUCUCGGGCUCCGGGGGGAAGCGUCGCAGUUCGUCAAAGAGCCCUAAGCCCAGCAAAAACUCUCGCUCCCCGCGGGGCCGCCGCUCUCGCUCGCACUCUUGCUCUCGGUCCGGGGACCGGAAUGGCUUUAGCCAUCAACUGAGUGGCCCCAGCCAAGGCUCCCAAAACCAGUCCUACCGCUGCCGCUCGCGGUCACGCUCUCGAGAGCGGCCCUCCGCGCCGCGGGGCGCCCCUUUCGCUUCUGCCUCCUCGUCCGCCUAUUAUAGCGGCUACUCACGCCCCUGCGGGAGCGACAAGCCAUGGCCUAGCCUCCUGGACAAGGAGAGGGAAGAGAGCCUGCGGCAGAAGAGAUUAAGUGAGAGAGAGAGGAUUGGAGAAUUAGGAGCUCCUGAAGUAUGGGGACUUUCUCCAAAGAAUCCAGAACCAGACUCUGAUGAACAUACACCAGUAGAGGACGAAGAGCCAAAGAAAAGCACCACUUCAGCUUCUACUUCAGAAGAAGAAAAGAAGAAGUCUAGUCAUUUAAAAGAAAGGUCCAAGAAAAGGAGGAAGAAAAAGUCGUCUAAAAGAAAACACAAGAAGUAUUCUAAUGAUAGUGACAGUGACUCUGAUUCUGAAACAGACUCCAGUGAUGAAGAUACAAAAAGGAGAGCAAAGGAAGCCAAGAAAAAGGAAAAGAAGAAGAAACGCAGAUCGAAGAAAUAUAAGAAAAAUAAGUCUAAGAAGAGCAGAAAAGAUUCCAGUGACUCAUGUUCUAAAGAGUCCCAAGAAGAGUUUCUGGAGAAUCCCUGGAAGGAUCGAUCAAAGCCUGAAGAACCCUCAGAUUUGAUUGGUCCAGAGGCUCCCAAAACACUUGCCUCUCAAGAUGAUAAACCUUUGAACUAUGGCCAUGCUCUGUUACCUGGUGAAGGUGCAGCUAUGGCUGAAUAUGUAAAAGCUGGAAAACGUAUCCCACGAAGAGGUGAAAUUGGCUUGACAAGUGAAGAAAUUGCAUCAUUUGAAUGCUCGGGUUACGUAAUGAGUGGUAGCAGGCAUCGCCGAAUGGAGGCUGUGCGACUGCGAAAAGAGAACCAGAUCUAUAGUGCUGAUGAGAAGAGAGCCCUUGCAUCCUUUAACCAAGAAGAGAGACGAAAGAGAGAAAACAAGAUUCUGGCCAGUUUUCGAGAGAUGGUAUACAGAAAAACUAAAGGGAAAGAGGACAAAUAAGGAUUUUCUGAUUGUUCAUCAGACAUUUUUAACAACAAAAAAGAAAGUUUGGGUUCCAUAUAUACACACAAAAAGAUUACCAUGAUCUGAAAAAGCUUUACAGUGCUACUGUGUCUUCUAUUUAAUUCUUUCAGUCCUUCUAUAAAAAGCUGCUUAUUGAU